This 233-nucleotide long non-coding RNA is filed under the name Volvox carteri. Its description in RNAcentral is "long non-coding RNA (VCAR_LNC003619)". Lineage: Eukaryota; Viridiplantae; Chlorophyta; Chlorophyceae; Chlamydomonadales; Volvocaceae. The record is from RNAcentral.
UUGUACGCGGAGCUGGCUGAACUCCCCUUACAAUAUUACAUGGUGAAGCAGAUCCUCCGUUUCUGGAACCGCCUUCAAAAGCAAGUGGGAUCCAUUGCUCAUGCAGUUUUACGGCAGGAGAUAACCGAUACCCUGACCAACCCGGAAUGGGAGGGUUGGGGAAUCUCAAUGUUACGACUGUUUUCCUUCUUGGAGUGCAACAUUUGGAGCGGAAUACCGCAAGAAGUCGUGGG